RNAcentral lists this ribosomal RNA (929 nucleotides) under bacterium N4(2011). RNAcentral's name for it is "bacterial SSU rRNA". It matches the Rfam family "Bacterial small subunit ribosomal RNA", at positions 56 to 983 of the family's 1533-position model. The record is from RNAcentral.
UGCAGUCGAGCGGUAACAGAUCUAGCUUGCUAGAUGCUGACGAGCGGCGGACGGGUGAGUAAUGCAUAGGAAUCUGCCCGAUAGUGGGGGAUAACCUGGGGAAACCCAGGCUAAUACCGCAUACGUCCUACGGGAGAAAGGGGGCUUCGGCUCCCGCUAUUGGAUGAGCCUAUGUCGGAUUAGCUAGUUGGUGAGGUAAAGGCUCACCAAGGCAACGAUCCGUAGCUGGUCUGAGAGGAUGAUCAGCCACAUCGGGACUGAGACACGGCCCGAACUCCUACGGGAGGCAGCAGUGGGGAAUAUUGGACAAUGGGGGCAACCCUGAUCCAGCCAUGCCGCGUGUGUGAAGAAGGCCCUCGGGUUGUAAAGCACUUUCAGCGAGGAAGAACGCCUGGCGGUUAAUACCCGCCAGGAAAGACAUCACUCGCAGAAGAAGCACCGGCUAACUCCGUGCCAGCAGCCGCGGUAAUACGGAGGGUGCAAGCGUUAAUCGGAAUUACUGGGCGUAAAGCGCGCGUAGGUGGCUUGAUAAGCCGGUUGUGAAAGCCCCGGGCUCAACCUGGGAACGGCAUCCGGAACUGUCAGGCUAGAGUGCAGGAGAGGAAGGUAGAAUUCCCGGUGUAGCGGUGAAAUGCGUAGAGAUCGGGAGGAAUACCAGUGGCGAAGGCGGCCUUCUGGACUGACACUGACACUGAGGUGCGAAAGCGUGGGUAGCAAACAGGAUUAGAUACCCUGGUAGUCCACGCCGUAAACGAUGUCGACCAGCCGUUGGGUGCCUAGAGCACUUUGUGGCGAAGUUAACGCGAUAAGUCGACCGCCUGGGGAGUACGGCCGCAAGGUUAAAACUCAAAUGAAUUGACGGGGGCCCGCACAAGCGGUGGAGCAUGUGGUUUAAUUCGAUGCAACGCGAAGAAUCUUACCUACUCUUG